RNAcentral lists this long non-coding RNA (206 nucleotides) under Capsicum annuum. RNAcentral describes it as "long non-coding RNA (CANN_LNC010395)". Lineage: Eukaryota; Viridiplantae; Streptophyta; Magnoliopsida; Solanales; Solanaceae. The record is from RNAcentral.
UGGAAAGAAAUAUUCCAUAACCUCGGGUACUUGAGAGGAAUAAAUUACUUUACAACACAUCGUGAAGUAGGUGGACUUGGUUCUUCAAUUUCUCUUUCAUAUUUUUUUCUUAAUAGUUGAUAAACACUUCAUUUGAUAGUUCAUUUGAUUAUUUAUUUGAACUUGUAUUGAAGGUGUUGAACUUCAUUGUCGUUCUUGAAAACUUA